This 444-nucleotide ribosomal RNA is filed under the name uncultured bacterium. RNAcentral describes it as "bacterial SSU rRNA". It matches the Rfam family "Bacterial small subunit ribosomal RNA", at positions 331 to 792 of the family's 1533-position model. The record is from RNAcentral.
CCAGACUCCUACGGGAGGCAGCAGUGGGGAAUAUUGCACAAUGGGGGAAACCCUGAUGCAGCGACGCCGCGUGAGUGAAGAAGUAUUUCGGUAUGUAAAGCUCUAUCAGCAGGGAAGAUAAUGACGGUACCUGACUAAGAAGCCCCGGCUAACUACGUGCCAGCAGCCGCGGUAAUACGGAGGAUGCGAGCGUUAUCCGGAUUUAUUGGGUGUAAAGGGAGCGUAGGCGGCAGGGCAAGGCCGGGGUGAAAGUCGCGGGGCCAAACCCCGGACAGCUGUGGAAACUGCCGGGCUAGAGUGGGCGAGAAGUGCGCGGAAUGCGUGGUGUAGCGGUGAAAUGCGUAGAUAUCACGCGGAACUCCGAUUGCGAAGGCAGCGCGCCGGCGCCCUACUGACGCUGAGGCACGAAAGCGUGGGUAUCGAACAGGAUUAGAUACCCUCGUA